This 253-nucleotide ribosomal RNA is filed under the name uncultured bacterium. Its description in RNAcentral is "partial 16S ribosomal RNA". It matches the Rfam family "Bacterial small subunit ribosomal RNA", at positions 524 to 776 of the family's 1533-position model. The record is from RNAcentral.
UACGUAGGGUGCAAGCGUUAAUCGGAAUUACUGGGCGUAAAGCGUGCGCAGGCGGUUCGCUAAGACCGAUGUGAAAUCCCCGGGCUUAACCUGGGAACUGCAUUGGUGACUGGCGGGCUAGAGUAUGGCAGAGGGGGGUAGAAUUCCCCGUGUAGCAGUGAAAUGCGUAGAGAUGUGGAGGAAUACCGAUGGCGAAGGCAGCCCCCUGGGCCAAUACUGACGCUCAUGCACGAAAGCGUGGGGAGCAAACAGG